Molecule: long non-coding RNA, 514 nt
Filed under: Lupinus angustifolius (narrow-leaved blue lupine)
Lineage: Eukaryota; Viridiplantae; Streptophyta; Magnoliopsida; Fabales; Fabaceae
Description: long non-coding RNA (LANG_LNC002404)
Source: RNAcentral
ACAUUGACUCAAAAUCUUCACAGUGAAUCCACUCAGAAGCCAUGAAGAAGAAUUUGAUGAUCGCAUUUUUAGUUUUGCUUCUCACGAUUACUAUAUGUCACGGUAAGACAACUUUUCUUGUGUCUAACAAUUAUCAUUAUCCAAUCUGUAAUCGUAAUUAUAAUCGAAAUAUUGAUAUAAUUUUUCACAAUAACAUCAUCAUCAUAAUCAAAAUUUAAAAAUACUGCAAUGAAUAAAAAUCUAGUUUUAUUUAUAGAAUGAAAUGAUUAAAAUUGCAUACAAUUUUGCAGGUGAAGUUGAAAUUACACAACUUUCGACAAAUGUUGCGUGCAGCAUUGAUGAUGAUUGCUACAAGGGUGUUGUAUGUCCACUUCGCUUAUGUAUACGUGCUGUUUGCAAAAAUGGACAGUGUGCAUGUGUCUGUGAAUCCAAGUGGAUAGAGGAAAUUAAAAUGUAACUUUGGGAUAAUGCAGCUUGUCCAAUAAUAUUAAUAAUAAUCUGAAUGAAAUAAUCC